UUUUUUUUUAGUUUGAGCUCGCUAAUACAGCAUGAUAAGGAGCAGUUAUAUAACAGGGGCCUACAGGGAACACUUACCUCCAAAUUUGUGCACGGCUCUGGAUGGCCAUUGGUGCAAAUCAUAGUUGCGAAACAACAAAAGAAUGUGAGAUUCACUCCAGGUAUUCAAACAGGACGCACCAUUAUAACUACCAACUUGCAUAUUAAAAGUUGAGAAAAGAAAAUCAGCACAAGAUAUGUUCUGAUGUAAACCUAAAAGGUGAGCUCAGAUCACACACUUCAGGUGCACCCACAAGGCCACAAGAGAUGGACGGUGCAGAAUCUGGAAAAAGCUGCAAAAAAAACCUGACUCAAAUAACUUGUCACCUAAUCGAGUUCUAUUUACAAGAUGACACAUGACUCUCAACAAAUUUUUUGGUGCAACAUCACCUUCACACCACACAGCAAUUGUCGGUCGCUUAAGUUCCUUCAUCCACACAUUUAAUUCAAGACCCCAGAAUGCAGAGACAACCAUUGGAUGUUCACAAUAACAGUAAGUGACUUCACUCUUAUUUUGACUGGACUCAUAUUUACAUCGAAGGGGCAAAAAUGAUUGGCAUUGCAAGCAAGAAAGCAUCAGAUACCCAGAGAGGCUGCAGAAAGGGAAGAACAAAAGACCACACUCAUCUAUAUCUAUAGCAUGGACAGGAAAAGUGGACAGUUAGCUUCCUACAAGACCAAGGUAGAUACAAAUCUACACUCAUGGGGAUCAUUUGACGGAUCAGGGCAAUCGCCGCCUGAAGGGGAUCAUUUGACGGAUCAGGGCAGUCGCCGCCUGAAGUUCCUACUGGUGCUUUGGUAUGUACGGACCAGCAGGCCGACACCCAAUCCGAUACCCACACAAACGCCAAGGCCAAUUCCAACUCCGACACGGACACCGGCAUUAAACCAUGAAAGCUCACCGUCCUCACCCUCUAUAAAGUCCUGCCUUGAGUACAAACUGUUAUAGUCAACAUCCACAUUCGUCUCUGAUUUGGAAUCCUGGAAUUCUGAUACCUGAAGCAAGUAACAGGAAAGAUAAGUAUGCUAUCAUAUGUCAGUGACAUAAACCAUAAAUGCCUCGUGCUUUACAUAGGAUAUAUUAGGUUAAAGCGGCUUAAAGAAUGCGUCCCAUGAACUGGCCCACAACUAUGUGUAAAUUAAUGUGCUGAACAUUGAAUAUCCAUGAAUACAGUGAAUAUCUUCUCAAUGCUGUGAAGAACAGCUAAUAAUAUGCAUUGACAUUACUAUCCUCAUUGUUAUAUCCAUAUUCACUGGAGAAUUUCCAUUAAGCGAAUCAUCUUAUCUAAAAAUAGCAGUAAAGCUGGUCAUUCUACUAAUGAGGCAACUUCUUAGCAAAGCUAAUGAUCUCUCUUCGCACCUUCUAUCCUUUUGCAUUUACUGGUAAUCUUAUUUGGCAGAGUUGCAGUAGAUAAAAUUAUAUAGCUGCAAAUUUGCAAAUGAGAUUCCUUCGUUAAAGAUCAAAACAGAAUUGUCAAAAAUUGACCACUGGGUGUUCUCAUGGAAGAUAGGACACCAUCUCUUAUGGUACAGUACAAAUCGGCUACCUAAGCUCCCAGUUCCAAUGAACAUACGAGCACGGCAGACAUCAGCUUCUACAGUCCAUUUAUCAGAUGGGUACACCAGCAAUCAGAUGUACAGAAUCCGCCCAAACAAAAAUUGAUCCAAGGACCUACCUAUCAAAUGUGUGCAGUUUGCACUUCAACAAAAGGUCGCAUUGCAAGAUAGAUAUUCAGCUGAUGUAAUGGCUGUUACAAGGUAUGUUAUUAUCUCCAAGUCAUCCUCAUAAGAGUUACCAUGCAGCAAGGCAGAAACAACACUCAGAUUUUCAUAUCUUUUUUUAUUAAAAAUAAACAGUUCUAGGAGGUAGGAGCAAAUGCACAAUACAACCAAUCAACCAUGAUACUGGUAUCAGGUAAACUUUCUUUCCUACUCUAUAAAUGAGAAUAAGUUUGCAAUAGUUUUAUGGAAGCUAUGUAUAAACUGGGUUGGUGGGCCGUGGACAUCAACACGAGUAAUGAAAUAAUAUGGCGAUGUGCCAUUAGACUUAAAUAAUAGCAACACAUAUAUACAUAGGAAAAAAGUUAGCUGAGCAUAUUUGCAGAAAUAAUCCUUUUGUCACAUGUAGGUUGAGCAUGGUCAAAUCGAUUAAAUCAAGAAGUUAACAGUAAAGGAGUUACAUUCCAUAGUUGUUACUUAUAGUGAGUAAUUUAGAACUCCCAAGUGAGUGCCAAGCACAAGAGUUUGUAUGCUUCAGGCUAAAGGUGCACAUAUGGGAUCGUAGUUGGAUAAAAGCAUUUGAGAAUGGCCACUGAUACAGAUGGUAAGUACCUUCAAAGAGUCUUCAGCUGACUCUUCUUUCUGUUGUUCAGUUGCCUCAUUCUCAGGGAUGGAAUCAAGCUUUAGUUUCAUUUCAGACUUCCUUCGUGAUAUAAGCUGGAUCGUCUUUGUUAGUAUGAUAGGUGUGCCAGAGAAAGUGCCAGCAACAUAAACCUCAAUGGCUGGCUGUACAUAUUCCAAGCCUGUGGACAGUUUUCCCUUCAAGAAGCCAUUACAUGAUGUUGAUGAUUGACACUUCAUAUUCCAUUUCUUGCCACUGUUCUUUGUCUCCCCAACUACUCCAUUGGCAUUGCAUAAGUCUAGAUCUCCUGUGAGCAAGAGAUCAUUCUUAUCAAGCACCUGGAACCUCACACUCCCUGUCAUCCGUAUAUUAUCUGUGCUCACAAAUGUAGCUUCCUCAGUCUUCUUGUCAACCCUGUCUCUUCUGAGUGACGAGGAUAUGAACUCCGUGUGCAUGCUGCUCCGCUGGCCAUUCACCUCAAUAACUGUAUCUGGUGACAAAGGGAUGUGGUUGAGCGUGAGAUGCUCUGGUGCAGAUUCAUCCACCACACAGUUGCUCACCCUAAUAUAGAACACCUUCAAGUCAAGCCAAGGUGAAGACCUUGGCGCAUAAAGCGGGUGCAUAAUAAUCUUCCGUGCCGCCUCAAAAGCCACCCCGUCACCCAUCUUUCUGUAUCUUACCCAGACAAAUCCUUAUCGCAUUGCCACGGACAUCAAUAUGUAGAUUACACUACCAGAAACUCUAACUGCAGCCUCAAGAACAGUUCAAUUCCACUACCUGCAAAAGCAACACGACAAACAUUUAGAACAAGAGAUUUUAACAAAGUAAUCUUUUGUUAAAUUGAAGCAACCCAAACAUAAACCAUGCUAACUUGGCCACACAUUUACCAACCAGCUAUCCAAGAUGCUAGACUUGUAUGGAAAGCGGGACCAAUUGACCACAAAUACAUCUACUGAUUUCAUACACUUAACAGACGGAACUCUAAUUGCAAUCUAGAAGUAAAUAGAACAGAAGAAUAACCAAAUGAUCAGAAUCCCAAUUGAAUCCCUCAAAGGGGCUAAGUUGACGUGGGGCUGAGCCUCAAAAGAAAUUUAGAGAACAAAACGGAUUAAACACUCCACCAUGCAGCAAAUGAAUCGCCAAAUCAAAGAACUGAAUGGCAGGGGCGGACCCAGCAUAGGACAUGGGUGUACACAUGUGCACCCGAUAAUUUUUGCAAACGAAAUCGAAGUUAGUAGGUAAUAUAUUGUAACCGGAUCAGAUCCGAUUACAAAUAGUUUUGUCAGGGUUUGGGGUGCUCCGUAUCGCGCAUCAGAAGGAAAGAGAAGGGGCGGGCAUACCUGGUGGAUGCUCGUCGCCGGCAAAGGCCUGGGCGAAGACGUGAGGAAUGGCGCCGCCGCUCGCCCAGUCGUUGCCGCCAGGGAAGGAAGACCAAGGGAGGAGAGAGUCAGAGAUAUUUUGAAUCGAUCCACUAGGUCUGGAUGUAUCAUUCCAAGUCCGGAUCGAUCGGCGCACCCAGGGCCAGCGGCAGCGCGCAGGAGGCGGCGGGCCACGACACAAGAGGGAAUUCGAGCCCACGAGUUCGGGUCGCGGGAGGCUUGGGCAUGCGUGCGACGGCGCGGCCAGGGGGAAAGCUUCGUUGGGAGAUGGCGGAAGCCGGGGAUGCGGGGCACGCGGAAGAGGGGAGGAACAAGGUCGGGGGACGGCAAUGGAUGAUGGGGAUAGUAUUUUUUUAGAAAAAAAAGUCUAAUUAUGUUUGCAAGGGGAUAGAUUUAAUCAAAAAUAACUUUUUUCGACCACUUAAUUUCCGUCAGAAAGGUAGCUCCCUUCUGGCUCCGUUUAUAUCGUGGCUUGAGGCCAUUUAUUAUUGGAGUAGUAGCAUUUUGUAAGAUAAUUAAACUCCUGUAACUUUAAUUUUGGACUAAGAAACUGUACAUGAAUAGUUUUCUAAUCCGCAUAAAAAAUUCAGAAGAACUCCAGAUUGACGGUUUCGCAUCCGCGCCAACAUCCAUUGCCGGCAACGUGGAGUGGGGAUGUGGCUACUAUCAGUUCACGCUUCAAUUCAUCAUCCCAAUCUCAAAAUAUCUCUCUCGCUAUCGGUCCUACAAUUUGAUUAAUCUGCCACACAAAUUUUCUUGUGUUUUUUUUUCUCUUCCAAAGCUCCCAUUCACAAGGUUGCCCGUUUGGAUUCAUCUGCCAGGUCACCAGGGAUAGAGUGGUAGGAAAUGCUUUGUCUUGAUAAAUGUUAACAGAUUUUUCUACAUUUCUUGGUCAUUGAUGAGCCGCUGUGAAGAAGUUCUCGCUCCUUUUCAAAAAGAACGAAAUUUUCGCUUAGUUUUGUUCAAAACUUAUCUAAUAUAUCUCUGGUAGGUUAUGAUUUAUGAACAAACAUCAGAAAAUUAUCUCCUUUUGCCACUUCGGCGACAUGGUGGAUUGAUUCCAGUCAUUUGUGUGGUUCGUUAAAAUGCUUUGUGACAUCAAAUUUGAUUGCACGCCCAGUUGCACUCUCUUUGAUCAGAUUUCUCACAGAAUAAAGAUGCCACUAUGUAGCAGCAUCUGUUAGGAAAAAAGGCAUAUAAGAUGGCUAUUCUGAUCCUCAAUUAUUUGCUGUAAUUAACACGAGUAUUUGAUGCAAAGUUUCCAUCUGAAAAGGGAGGGAGGACCAGCAAGUCAUCUCAUUGUUCCACGGAGCAAGUUCCAGAUAGAUGACUUCCAGCAGAUGACUCAGGACACAUAUUAUAUUGGAACAGAGGUGUGCAUAGCCAAUUGCGGACAUCAGAAUACUUUUUUUCUUACCGACUAUGGACCCUGGAGACUACAUAGAGCACCACACGGUUCCUCUUCCUGUCAGUUCUCUCAAAGCAGAAGCAGGUAGCAAAUGAUAGAGCAGGUGACCAAAAGCAAUACUGUAUAACAAAAACAUAAUUAACCUCUGGUAUAAUGGGCAGUAAUACAGGAAUCCGAACCGAACAUAACAAGAACAUAAUUGACUUAUGGUACAGAUAGUCAACAAAGAUCAGGAUUUUACAACAUACAACCCUUGCUUUCGAAUGCAAAUGUCACAUAAGCAGGCACACAUGAAUUCUAGUCAUAUUCUGGGAUGCCUACAUUUUAAACAGCAAAAUGGAUGGCUCAGCCAGUUAAUUAUAUGUUGCCAGGUACAACAUAAUGUGAACAUACAGGGCAAACUACAGCAUGCAUGAUUAUUACUGUACAGCAGGCAGGUUGUGACUUGAGAAGCAGCAUGGAACAAGUUAAUGUGAGUAUGGAUCAUUGGAGCAUAAGCAUUCAUCGACCAACUGGCGUAGGUUGGGGUUCUCCAAGGCUGCUGCAACUCUCUCCUUGUCGUUCAGUUGCUUGUUUACUGCCAUUUCAUUGACAAUCACAUGUUAAAUAUUAAAAUGACACAGUUGCAAUUGCAUUAUAUGCUGUUGGUAUUCUGCUGAUAGAAUAGGUGCAUGGUAAGGUUGGCCUACUACGGUAGGAUGUCAUAUUCUUGUGCAGAUAACAAAGAAAAAUAUGCAAACAUAUGUUAUAAUUUUACACUGAUCAGUCUAGUACUUUGAUAACCUAGUACUUAAACAAAGAUAGAUGAAGCAAAACAAAAAGGUCUACUAUUAACAUUUUAGUCUGGUCAAAAUGGCAUCUCUGCUGAUAGGCUGCAACAUAUCAUCUCUUACCAACCUUUAAUGUGCCCUUGUUAUUCUUUCAAAUAUGCUUACCAAAUAAUGCUUAGUUUGGCAUUCGAGAACAGGAACUAAGAUCGGCUAUCACAUUAUGAUACAUAAAAACAAAUUUAUGGCGAAAAGAUAUUAUAUGAAAGUAUGUGGACCCACGGACAGUGGCUGAGCCACAUAAUAUUUUAUUCUUAGAUAUUAGCCUGUGUAUCAGUUAGAAACUUGCCAGUGCACAAACCUGAUUCUUCAUUAGCAAGAGACCCUGGGGCAACUUUGAUGUCAAUCUGUAAAUUAGUUCAAAUGUAAAGGAUCACUAAGUGGGGAUUGCCAUAUUCUGUAAUGACCAAUGCUCAGAGAAUGUAAUAAAAUAAAGAACAACUGGCAGCUCAGUUGCAGCAUAGCUACCUUCAUAUAUUAACAAUGUACUCUCUUUUUUUUGAGGAAAUGGCUCGUUAAAUAUAUGAAACAAAAUAGGUCCACGAAAAUAUUUCAUGAAGUUAUACCGAUGUAGCCAAUCGUAAUCCUAUGUCAGGCCAAAAUAAAUAUUCAUUGCUGCUAACUACGCCAUUGCUCUAAAAUUUUGAGGCUCAAAAGGACAGAUUUAGGGUGCAUUGGUAGGUCUAUGAAACUAUUUCAUGAAUGUUAUAUUGCAGCCUGGCUUGGUUCUCUUGCUCUGGUCCACACCAUAUGUUUAACUUGUUCCAUGCUCUGGUCACGGAAUUUCAAAUAUGCAUAUGUUUCAAGUUAUUGAUGAACAAUAUUAACUACCAAAUGAUAGAUCAAAUCCUGCCAGUCUGACUGUGUAUUUCAUAAUACAGAAUGAUAGAGGCAAACUGAAUUAAUCAGCUCACAUAAGCAUAGUUCUAAAAUGGCAUAGGGCAUACCCUGAAUUACAAAGCAACUCAAAUGGUCAUCUUAAUAAGAAUUCCAGAAACAGGGAAACAUACAAGCACCUUAAAAUGUGGAGGGAAGUUCUGCAUCAACUUGAGUCGGAGGCACAGACCAAUUACUGUGGCCAUACUGCAGUGCUGCACAGUUGGAGUGAAGGUUAUCCUGCAGCAAAUCACAAGAUUUAAGGAAUUGCCAAAAAUAAGUGAAAGCUAGAUAUGAGUUCUCAAUAUUUCUACAGUCGAGCAAUGCGCCCAAAUAAGACAAUGCAACCUCAGUAUCUCACACCCUGAGAGCAUGUACAAUGAAUGGACGUGACAAGCGUGUUGGGGAUCGCCUAAGAGGAGAUCACCUUCGAAUGUUGAAAUGCGGUUGUGCAGCUAGUACGACAGGGGUAAGGAACCGAAGGUUUCAUAAUAGUUAGUCAAUGCGCGACAAAUCGGGUCCUGACCUUAAAUCAAGCGAAGAGGUAAUCUCCAGAUAAGAGUUUCCCUUCUGGUUUGCAGGGCAGACGAGAUGACGAUGAAGAUCGAGGUCCAAGUUAAGGAGGUUUAAGGACCAGGGGGCACGACUUUUACCUUCGAUCAAGCCGAGGGAUGAGUCAAGAUGCGGGGUUCGAUCCAUGUAACGUUCAGAAGGGUGGUCUUCCAAAGAUGACAGGCCGAAGGUCAAAGGAGGAGAAGCAUGAUCCGUGUGAACCAAGACGAAGAAGCAAAUUAGGAUACGUCCACCUUUGUGACCAUUUUGUAAAGCAUAUUCCAAGAAUGUAACAAGUGAUCAGGGGCAGAAGGGUCAAGAGAAAUGGUCCUUCCUCUUCCUAUAAAUAGGGAUCCAAGGAUCCACCCAUACUGUUCAGGGGGGCUGAUUCUGAAAACGGAAUUGAUAUUAUUCGGAUCAUUCAAUUGUGGGUAUUUUGUGUCGCAACUACUACUGUCCAGUUUCGAGUCCUCUCUAAACAAACACAGAGGACAGCAAGAUCAGGGAAACUGAUAAGUGCAUGCACAUAACCGUGGGAGUGCAAAAAUGCUAAAAGAACAGAUAAAAUAGCUCAGGACUACACAACUUAUCACAGAUCCACUACCAAGCAUAAGCAAUUCCCACAUAACCUACACCCGAUGGUAAAUGUCAAACAAGGAGAACGGAGGAAACAUACAUCUAGGCGCCUAUAGUCUUAAUAUAUCUUGUCAAUAAGCAAUUCCAGAUCCAGCAAGCCAGGUUGUGCAAGUGUUGCGCAAUCCAACCACAAACCCACAAGGAUUCUGAGAAUUCAGAGAAAUCUAAGAGGCACGCCGAUAUAGGACAUGGACAUCACGAAGAUAUCUUAGUCGCCGCACAGGAUCACAGACAUUAAGCACGAUCCCGAACCCCUUUCGCGAUACCCUAGUCACGAUUUCAGAGCUCAUUCCGCAUCAACAUUUUUUUAGGACAGUACAAUGGCAACAAUGGAGUGUCAGGAUAUAAAGUCAGCAUACGUACUGGAUGCGGCCGAGUUUCUCAUCGACGGAGAUGGACUCCUGCGAGAGCACGCUGAGCUGCUCCAGCGAGUACGGGUGCUCCGGGUCCCUGAUGUCCCGCACCGUAUCUGGCGCACCGCACCACGAAAGCACACGCAUCCAUCAGGUCCAGCUAUCCCGCGAAGUAAACUAGCAAAGCAAGGCUGAAGAAAAGAAACCGAGCGAGGUGGACUCGCGAGGCGAGGGCUGUGGUACCGUACCGAAGACGUCGAGCGGGUCGAGCGCGUCCGCCGCGUGCGGGUGCGCGGCGCGCUCCGGCCGCUCGUGCACCACCGGGUUCGCGUUGAUCAUGCCCACCGUCAUCUUCCUCCUCCCCUUGGAUGCGGCGGUGCGGAUUGAUUUGGGAGCAGAAUGGGAGAGGGAAGUCGAGAAGAGAAGAUGAGGACGAAUAUUUUUUUUUCUUUGUCGGGUCUUAAUCAUUGCCUCAUUGGUGUGCACACUUCCCCCUAGUUGCGGGAAAACACUCACUCAAGUGGGCCAUCCCGUCUAUAUUUUGGCCCAUAGAAUUCCACGAAAUAAGUCAGCCCGUAUAGAUCAUGGACGCCCACGGGCUUUACCCCUAAAAACGGUAAGGCUCAUGGUCGUCGGCUCGGAUCCACACGGAAGCUCCUUCAGAACAUGCAAAAUGCCGCCUUGGCAGCCGGGGCCGCGGUGGCGCGGCCGGCGGCCAUGGCAGCGGCCAGCGACCACUAUGCGCGGCUCCUGCAGCUCUGCCAGACCGCGGUGAACCCUUCCGCAGGCCGGGCCAUCCACGCGCACGCCGUCAAGGCGGGCCUCCUCGUCAGCGCCUACCUCUGCAACAACCUCCUCUCGUACUACGCCGGCGCCAGCGUGAGUGGUGGAUCCUUCCGCGACGCACGGAACCUGUUCAACGAGAUCCCGCCCGUGCGGCGGAACGUGUUCACCUGGAACACGCUUCUGUCGAUGUACGCCAAGUCCGGCCGCCUCGCUGACGCCCGCGCCAUGUUUGACGGAAUGCCUGAGCGGGACGCGGUGUCCUGGACCGUCAUGAUCGUCGGGCUCAACCGCGCCGGCCGCUUCUGGGAGGCCGUGAAGACGUUUGUGGACAUGGUUGGCGAGGGGCUGGCGCCGACACAGUUCACGCUCACCAAUGUGCUCUCAUCGUGUGCCGCAACGGAGGCCAGCGGGAUUGGGAGGAAGGUCCACUCCUUUGUCGUCAAGCUCGGUCUGAGUAGCUGCGUGCCCGUGGCCAACUCGGUGCUCAACAUGUACGGCAAGUUUGGGGAUGCUGAGACAGCAACGGCUGUGUUUGAGAGGAUGCCGGUGCGUAGUGUAUCGAGCUGGAAUGCCAUGGUGUCACUGUACGCCCGCCAGGGUAGGAUGGACUUUGCUGUGUCCAUGUUCCAUAACAUGGAAGAACGAAGCAUUGUCUCUUGGAACGCUGUCAUAGCAGGGUACAACCAGAAUGGGCUUGAUGACAUGGCAUUGAAGUUCUUCUCACGAAUGCUGAGUGAUUCUUUCAUGGAGCCAGAUGCAUUCACAGUAACCAGUGUCUUAUCAGCUUGUGCUAACCUGCGCAUGUUGAAGAUGGGAAAACAAAUGCACUCUUAUAUCUUGAGAAAAAGAAUGCCAUACAGCGGUCAGAUCAUAAAUGCUCUCAUCUCAACUUAUGCGAAGUCCGGAAGUGUUGAGACUGCGAGGAGAAUCAUGGAUCAGGCAGUGAUUUCCGAUCUGAAUGUUAUUUCCUUCACUGCUCUCCUGGAAGGCUAUGUCAAGCUUGGGGACAUGAAGCAGGCAAGGGAAAUCUUCGACGUUAUGAACAAUCGAGAUGUCGUUGCCUGGACCGCAAUGAUUGUUGGCUACCAGCAGAAUGGUCAAAAUGAUGAGGCCGUGAAGCUCUUCAGAUCAAUGAUCAAAAGUGGCCCAGAACCUAACAGCUAUACGCUUGCUGCUAUUCUUAGUGCCUGUGCAAGCCUGGCAUGCCUUGAUUAUGGAAAGCAGAUCCAUGGCAAGGCUAUCAGAUCAUUACAGGAGCAAUCUGUUUCUGUCAGCAAUGCCAUUAUCACAAUGUAUGCGAGGUCAGGCAGUGUGCCAUUGGCGAGAAGGGUGUUUGAUCGGAUUUGCUGGCGCAAGGAGACAGUCACAUGGACAUCGAUGAUCGUGGCAUUGGCACAACAUGGUUUUGGAGAAGAAGCUGUUGGCCUUUUUGAAGAAAUGCUUUGCGUUGGUGUGAAACCAGACCGCAUAACUUACAUUGGCGUGUUUUCAGCUUGCACACAUGCUGGUUUUGUGGACAAAGGGAAGAGGUACUAUGAUCAGAUGCAGAAUGAGCAUGGCAUUGUACCAGAAAUGAGCCACUACGCGUGCAUGGUAGACCUCCUUGCCCGUGCUGGCCUGCUCACAGAAGCUCAGGAAUUCAUUCAACGGAUGCCUGUCAUGCCAGAUGCAAUAGUCUGGGGUUCACUCCUUUCAGCUUGCAGAGUGCGAAAGAAUGCAGAUUUAGCAGAACUCGCCGCGGAGAAGCUGUUGUUAAUUGAUCCUGAUAAUAGUGGCGCCUACUCUGCUCUUGCCAAUGUCUAUUCUGCCUGUGGGAGGUGGAAUGAUGCGGCAAGGAUCUGGAAGCUGAGGAAGGACAAGGCAGUGAAGAAGGAGACUGGUUUCAGCUGGACUCAUGUGCACAACAAGGUUCACGUCUUUGGAGCAGACGAUGUACUGCAUCCACAGAGGGAUGCAAUCUACAAGAAGGCCGCUGAAAUGUGGGAGGAGAUCAAGAAGGCAGGAUUUGUCCCUGACCUGAACUCUGUUCUGCACGAUGUCGAUGACGAGCUGAAGGAGGAGUUGCUGAGCCGCCACAGCGAGAAGCUUGCGAUUGCAUUCGGUCUCAUCAACACCCCAGAGAAGACGACCCUGCGGAUCAUGAAGAACCUACGAGUGUGCAAUGACUGCCACGCAGCGAUCAAGUUCAUCUCCAAGGUUGUGGACAGGGAGAUUAUAGUGAGAGAUGCGACGAGGUUUCAUCAUUUCAGAGAUGGGUUCUGCUCGUGUAAAGAUUAUUGGUAGGAAACCUUUGUCGCAGCUUGCAAGUUGAAUGAGAAAGAAAUGUUCCUUUUUUUUUGGUUCAUAUGCUAUGGCAGUGUGCAAGAAACUCUGCAGUCAAUGAUCGAUAUUUGUAACAUGUAAGCUAUUUAGUUUAGAUGACUAAUUUAGUUUGUAAUCUGUCAUGCUAACCCUGAGUGGCAUCCUUUCAUUUUCAGAAAGCGUGGAGGCAUAGAAUAUGGAUUUUCAUGGGUACCUUGGAUCAUUCAUUCAUUGUUUUGUAAACGAAGUAACAAUGUUAUUGUUAAUGUAAAUACUGAUCAUCUUUCCCCUCAAUUUCAGCUUAUUCAUAACUCAAUGGCUAAAGUUGGAGGAAAUGUAUAUUGCUAUCGUUCAUGUUAACAUCCUUUCCACGAAGGAUCAGUCAUUUCUGUGGCAUUAUGCCGAUGAUGUUUCCUUGGAUUUAUUGGCUUUCAGAGAAUCGCGGUCGUAUCAACAGAAAGAUACUAUGGCAGUUCUGCACAAAAUUUCAAAAAAACGAGUCAUCAAAAGGGCCUGCAAGAGCAAGCAACAUCAUAAGGUGAUACCACACGACGUAAUUGAUACAAUACAAGAUUGAGGCAGGAAGCAAAUAUCCCUAAAACAGCAAUGCACUUGUUGAAACUUAAAAACACCACGCCAAUCUUUGACAAAGUGUAACAUGUCAACUCACUAAAACUGUGUUAGUAAUAGUUCAGAACAUAGUGAAAUGAUAUUUUCUAGCUACAGUAUCCAAAAAGAAGUCUAUUCCAAGGAACAGAAUGGUGAUCCUUCAAAAUGGUCAUGAAUGUUGAUUGCUGAAAUUGGCCUCACUCGGAGCCCACAUCAACACCCUUCUUUGCUAAGAAUUCCUUUGCCUCCACAAUAUCCUGUAUAGUAAGUCGAAGCUCAAACAUGUCAGAAUAAACCUAGCAUAUGGUCUUACGGCCACCAAAAAAAAGAAAAGGAAUAUCAUUCGGCAUGUACUUCUUUGCCAUUGUCAGUAUGAAAACUCAUGCAACAUAAUGCAAUAACAGCUCAACAAGUUUCCAAGGUUCCUCAGUUUAGUCAUGGAUAGACUCAGAAAUUUAGCCCCAGCUCCAGGUACUAAAGUAGCUAACCUGUUGCAGUAGUAUAGCUUCUUGAGGGCAAGUUGGGAAGAACAUAAGUCCAAAUCCAACCAUAAAAAGGCCGUAGCAUCCAAGAGCCACUACCAAGUAGAUUGGAAGCUGAAACAACAACCGAAUUCAUAAACAAACUACGAAUCACCUUCGCUAUAUUUUUAAGAAAUUUACAGGUGCAAAUCAAUGACACUGACCAGCCAAGUAUAACUUCGAGGAACAGUUGAGGUUUCAAGGAGUGCAACCCAGAUGGCUGAGAUUGCUACCAGUAUAGCAACAAUCUUGAAUAUGUGCUUCAUUUGAGAAUGAGAUGCUUUCCUGUCAUAAAAGAAAACAGAAUAAGGACACCGUGGAUCAGUUUUCCUAACACACGCAUUUUGACCCAUAUUCAUGCUGGCACGGCCGUACGGUUGUGUGGUUUAGUCGUACAUGGUACUCUAUAUGGAUUUAAGCUGGGCAAAAUGUGAAGACAUUUGAGAACUAUUCACACUAGCCAUAAAGAAGCUUAAAUGUUGGCACCUAGAGCAUUACAGUUGCAAUCCAGCAGGCUAGGGAAUAUGUAUGAAGAAGGCUCAAAUAGAUCUAGAAUAGUUCGAGUGGUGAUCCUAUGCGUCUUUUGGUGGAACAGCACCUAAGCAUGUGGACUGUUAUGGGAGCCUUCAUAAUUUCAGCAACAGAUCUAGCUCACUCAGCAGCAUCAACUGAAGAUGUGAUUUGGCACAUGCUUGCCAGUACUCGAUUCAGCUUCAUGGGAUGACAAAUUGGUUCAGGAAGCACUUGCGUAAUAGUGCGCCCUGAGAAAUUUUCCUUUUUUUCCUAGUGAUUGAGAGUAAUCAAAGCUAAGCAGAGAUAAAUCCACCAGAUGUGGUUGUAUUAACAUACUUUGGACUCUGGGUCUUUCUUUUGCAAAUUGUAAUGACAAGUGGCGAAUUUUGGACCUGGACAGCACACAGGGAUAUUUCCUUUGACAUGAAUGCACGCGCUUGUGGUCUAACAAACAGUAUAAUUGUAUGACCCAGUAUUUUUUUUUUGUUAUGUUAUAACGUUCUAGUUUAUGCUGUAGAAUAUCCUAUAAAAUGAUCAGAAGGCAGUACAAGCUCACCAUUUCAAAACGUUGAGCAUGGCAAUGGAUCAAAGGCAAAAAAUUGAAGCAUGGUGUGAAAAUCGAUCUAUAGCGCAAUCAAUCAGGAUCGGACCCAGCAUAGGAAAUCGAAGUUAGUAGGUAAUAUAUUGUAACUGGAUCAGAUCCGAAUACAAAUAGUUUUGUUUUAGGGUUAGGGGUGCUCCGUCUCGCACAGCAGAAGGAAAGAGAAGGGGCGGGCAUACCUGGUGGAUGCUCGUCGCCGGCAAAGGGCUGGGCGAAGACGUGACGAAUGGCGCUGCCGCUCGCCCAGUCGGCGCCGCCAGGGAAGGAAGACCAAGCAAGGGAGGAGAGUCAGAGAGAAGGGAAAGGGAGAAGAUGAGCCUGAGGCCGAGCCUGAGGGGGAGGGGCUGUCAACGAGCCGAGAUCGAGUGAGCCUGCCGCCUCAAGCUGGAGGAGUUCGAUAGCAUAUCCCGAGCCGAGCUCGAUCUGAGCCUGAGAUCCUGCCGAGCCUACAGCCCGAUAAGCUCGUCAUUCGUCAAGGUUCAAAAUAGACUCGAAUAGGCUCCAGUAUUGCAGAUCUUCUCUAAAUACGAAUUCUAAGCUCAAACCGAGCGAUUCCACUGGGCCACGUGGCUUCGUUUCCUCGUCCGUCAGAUCUCGAUCCAGCCGUCGACCAGGCACGAUCGCUAGCGUUUCUCGAACCUUCAUCCCAAACUUGACGAAACGCCAUCGCUGCCGCCCUCUCCACCUACUCCGGCUAGCGGACAUCGCGGACACCGGGCUCGAGGAGAGCUUGCGCUCCACCUGCUGAGCCUCCCCUCACCAAGAAGGCCAAGCACGAACGGGCCGCCGCAGCAUGAUCCUCGCCGCUACACCUAUCCCCCGCUCCAAAUCUUCACUAUACACGGCGCCGUCGCUCUUUCCGCCGGGGCCGUGCUCCUCACCUAUGCCGCCUCCCUUCCGAGAGAGCAAAAGUAGAUGGCGAGGCGCAGAGCGAGAAGUAUCAGUAUAUGCAGCAGCGCUGGCGUCCUCCGCACUGGCUAUUGAACGCGGAUGCAGGGCAACCGAGCUUUACAGGGUAGGCGGGCACCAGGAGGUCGAUGCGGGAAUUGUUCGCCGUCUGGCUAGCUAGCCUUCCUCUCGCCGUUCUUCCCGUUACUCCACCGCAUGUCUUGUCCUCGUCCAGCUCCUGGAACAACCUGCUCUCCUCUAUGGCAUGUGCAUUGCGCAUCUUGUCACAGGAAGAGCAGCGCCAACGGUGACUCCGCAGUGUGCAGUCGUAUCUGUUGUGCCUACAAUGUGCUCGACCAAAUGCCACUUCCAUGGCAAAUUUUCUUGUGGUAUGUCGCUCACAUCUGGACACCCUCUCUCAGCAAACACAGAGAUAAUAUUCAUAUAUCUGCAAUUUUUAUUUGACUUUCACAGUGCUCACGGCCAACUGCCUAGCACGAUAUUUUGGUAUUUAGGGUGUAUCCAUAAUUUAGACCUUAGGUCAUUGCUCUCACAGUGGAAGCUAUUUUGGAGUUUUAUAUAUUUAUCUCUAAAACUCAGCAUCUUAUCAUGCUACGUACCUCUUACAUAGAGCACCUCUGUUUUGUCAAACAAAAUUAUGGUAUAUAUCAAUCUCAGAGGUUUGAUUUACAUAACUGCACACAUUUAAAAAUUAGUUUUAACUACAGUUUCCCACGAUGCAAAUUAUAUCACUUUAUCAAGGACCAAACCAUCUCGAAAUAUUUGAACAGUGAAAUGCUUUUUUGCUAGGAUUACUAGCAGGGGUAAAAAAAACUCAUAGUGUAGAUCUUUGCAAAUAGAUAUAAUAACAUAGAUUAUGAACGUUGAAUAAUAUUUUGUACCUAUUAUACUGUAUUUGCUUUUAUUUACAUUUUUUCAUAAGCGAAUGAGCAGAUACACUGAAGCAGUAUGCUAAAGACAUACAAGAAAUUGAAGUGAAAAAGAUUCAUGCUGAGGAUAAACACAAGCAAACUGAUAUAUGCAUUGUGCAAGACUAAAUAGAAAACACAUCGAUCUGUUUGCCCUGAUGUUGCCUUACUUCUGUGUGCCUUUCUACUAAUCAUCUUCUCCACCUUAGUGAUAUUUGGAUGGACAGUGUGAGUGGGAUUAGGAUGUCAUAUAGAUGAGAUAAAAUGCAGGCGAACCUAUGAAAGGUGUGCUGAAGAGAGCUAAUGAUAUCUUAACAUUUUCUGAGUUGCAUGGAAUUGAGCAAUCCAGGCAUCUAUGGGUAUUAUAAUUUUAGCUAAUCCCGUCCCCUCUUGAAGCAUGAUCGAGCAGAAGUGAAACUAAGCUCCCUCAGUACUAUUUCAAUAGUGAAACUGUCAUUUCCUUGCAGGAGGCAGUCUGUGCAGCACCCUGACAAUGUUCCUUUAAGCUUUCCCCUCGUGUAUAUGCUGCUUCUUUCGUCAUGAUCAUUUUGCUCUAAUUUAUGACAAUUUGCCAUUGCAAAUUUUAUGUCCCAUCCUAUGAUGUCCGUGAUGACAGAAACGAGGUACAACAAGCCCACUUACCAUCCUGCUUAUGUAAUGUGCAUUUUCAGGUGUUGCCAGCAGGGAUAGUGUCAAAUGUACUAUGAAGAAGCCACUUGCAUGAAUACAGAAGCUACUAAAGAUAAUUUGAAAUAUAUUAACCAAGAGCUUCACACUAAUAUUUUUUAAGAUACAGUUCUGCCAGCAAGUCUUCACAGUUAAUUACUUUUUUUUGUUUGUAUACUGCUAUACGAUAAAUAAAGUGAUGCAUGGAAAUUUGUUACAUUUGAUCCAAAAGGUAUUUUGCGUCACUUGAUUAUAGCCAAUGACAGCUUAUGGUUACACCAGAAUUUUGCACUAAUCUUAUAUUAUUGUAGUGGUUCAACAUCUUUCAUUCUUUGUGCAAAUAGUAAACAAAGUACAAAAACUGAUCAUAUGUCAAACAUGAAGUCUAUUAAAAGACGCAAUUCAGUACAAGAAACAGAACACGAACAAUUACAUGCUAAAAAUAUGAGGUACAUCAUGUGGAAGAGACGUUAGUGGUCCGUUUCACAGCCCAUGGCGUGGCUCGGCUUUCUAGUAUGUCACGACAGAGCGGCUCGACAACACACGGAGGUUAUUUAGAAGGAGGAGACGCAUACGUAGGAGGAGGCAGAUUUAAUUUUGACGAAUGAAAAGAGAAAAUAAAAAUAGAAGCACAUCUACAUCUGGCUAUUUAGUUUUAUCGUUCUAUGCUUCUCUUAGUUUAUACGGCACACCAACUCGCUAGCUGGUGACUAGUGAGUGAUGAUGGACUCAACCUCCAGCAAUAUUGUUUCAAUAUUAUUUACAGUGCAUGAUAUUCAUUCCAAUGCCGUCCUGCUCGUGCGUUUUCUAACCCAUAGUUGAUUCCAAAGGCCCUGGAUAUGCCAACUUCGGAAGUAGUUCCUAUGCAGCACUGUGCUGCAUAGAAGGACUCUCCCUCACUAACAUGCAUGCAGGCUCCACUGCAAUCGGACCCACGCAUCAGCACGCAAGUCCCCCUGCAGUACCGUAGAGGAGAGACAUCCGUCAACAACUUCGGUGUUCGCUGGUUUUCAAAAAUCUUAAAUUCGCACCAUCAUCGCUACAUCAGGAAAAAGACGCAUGUGCCAAUAAAAUCAAUCAAAAACGUAUCUUUGAAAACUAAUUCACGCAACAAACAGAAAUACACGACUUUGGAAGCUCAACACUCCAAAAUUCUUGCUUCCGAAAUUCUAGCGUCUACAAAGAAAUAACAUAAGUCAGUCUUCGGAAGUAGCAGGCCCAUGUCUUCUCAAGAAGAUCAACCUUUGAGCGCAGCAGUUCCGUGGCGCCUUUCCUUCUUGAAACGAGAUUGAUCCGGAUCGAACCCACCUUCCUCUGCACCAUAGACUGCCCAUGAGGGCGUCACAGCCAUGUAAUCUUGGCUCUUAAAAGGUUCUCCAGAUAUCACCUGUAUUGGCGAAUGAAUGUCAAUUCAAGAGCUGGGAUUAUCUCCUAAGCUGUACGCCUGUACCACAAAGUAGUUGUUCAGGAAACUCACCAGUUCAUGGAAUCGGUCAUAAUCUAUCCAGGUAUGCCAUUUGCCGUUGAUCUUGAACUUAUCUACCUUUGCAAGUAGGACACAGCAUGAAUGAGCAUGCUCACAUGCUACUUCGUAGACACCACCGCUUUUUGAUGCCAAAACCUCGGAGAAUUCCUUUACAUCAGAGUGCCAGGGUACAUUCUCCAUUGUCAACUUUGAAGUUGCAGACCUGUAAGCAUUAUCAUAACAAAUGUAACAUGACAAUCAGCAACCGAAAACGCCAAGUCAUAAUCAGUGAGCAAAAAUAAAUAAAAAUGACACCUACGAGCCACAGUAUGUCACACCCUUGAUUUCGAUGAAAUCAGGUUGGCCAAGGUUUAGCAAUUUUGCAUAUGCAUCUAUCUCUUCUGCAUUCCAGCCCUUAACCAGCGUCAGUCGGUAAACUGUCCGUUGAUCUUUCUCAUGCAGAGACUUGAGUGAAUCCUAGUGAGAUGCCAAAGCAGGACACAAAGAAAUACAGUUAGUAUUUGUAGACCAUACAUUGAUGAUGUGUAUCUGGAAAUUUUCUACUUCUAUACCAGGAAACGCUCCCAAAAGUCUGAAAACAGUGGCCUGUCAACAGCUUUCAAGCUUUCUUUUGUAGCUGCAUCCACACUGACAUACAGCUGCGAACAUAUUGAUACUGUCAGUAUUCUUUAGAAGUUACAUUGAGUAUUCAAAUACAAAGAUCUGGAACUUAGUGCAAUGUAUUGAGAAUAUGACCUGAGUGAUUGGUUUCAACAUCUUAAUCUUUUCAGGAAAUUGAGCAUUUGUAACCAGAAACGUAGAUAUGUGCCUGCGGUGCAGCUCAUCAACCAGAGCAUUUAUCUCAGGGUACAUUAUUGGUUCACCAACCAGAGAUAAUGCACAAUGCCUAGGUGAUAGACCCUCUUCUAGUUUUUCCGGCUUUACUCCUGAAAGUGCAAGAACAGUAUUCUUAUCCAAUAAAGACUGCAGAAAAAAUUAUGAUAACCUGAAACAUUCUAGAACUGAAUAACAUUAAUGUCAGGCAUAGGUUGCUUGACAUAAAGCUUACAGUCAUGCUAAAAUUAUUAACAGAGGCUGCACAUUUCAUGGUCCCUAUAAUCCAUUAGGGAACGGGGGUUUUAGGAAGUAAAUCCUUAGGAUUUUCUUUUGACACAAAAUCCUUAGGAUUAUUUAGUAUAAAUGUGAACUACCUGAGAAUUCCUAGAACACUUCCCCUCUUCCAAACAAGAUAAUGGUGAGUGUUUUUACAAGGAUACACGCAUAUGGAUGUAAGCUUUCUUCAAGUUAUUUCUAGUUCAAACAAGAAACAUUUGCAGGCAUUGGGAAUAACCGUGUGGUCCAAUCUGCCUGAAGUUGAUGAUUUAGCAAAACCAUUAACAAACUAAUGACCUUAGCUAACCAACUUGAUUUGCCUAAUCAAUCAGCUAACUUAACAAUUAAGAAAACAAACAGAUAGACUAAUGAUGAUAGAUGGUAUAUCUCUAAACCAUGGACGCCAGGCUAUGGCACUAAUGCACGUCCAUACUCUGCCCUGGAGUUUUUUGUUUGAGCGGUAUGAUAUGCCCACUGAUGUAGUUCUAUGGGUGAGCGUAAGCGUACACACCUGGUACACCUUUCAUUUGCUUAACCAUCUUAGUGUGUUGAUCAAUUGCGGCAUUUACAAUGUCAAGUGGGUCAUCCAUCUUCCAUUUCCAACUUUUUCCAACAGGAUUUGUGUGAUGUCUCCAACAAAAUACACAUUUAUUUGCACAAGCCAAACUUGGAGUUGCCUCCAUGCAUCUGCCAAAUGAUCAUAUAAACAAGAAGCAAAUUAUCAAGGCUGUCAAUACAUUUUCCCAAUAUAAAAUUAAUUAUGGUUUUUGCGAUCCAGUGCAUAAGCAGUAAAUAUUGAUGAAUUAAGAUUUAAAAUAAAACUACUUGCAAAGCCAGGCUAUCUAAUUUACAAGCACUCAAAUUACUGUUGCAUAAGCAAAAGGUUCACCUGUGACUCUCUAUGCCAUAAAAUGAAUGCUUAUAACACCCUCCACGGCCUCGGAGCUGUGACUUAGUCCAUCUACAAAUCUUCACUCCACUAUGAGAACCAAGAAUUUUGUAACCCUGCAACGCACACAAAAUUUGGAUUGGUAUACUAUAAAUAUAGGCCCCAACUACAUGCAGCAUGGAAAUACAUAAACCUGACACGCCAACUAAAGAUAAUAAUUAUAAAAUACUCUCUCCGUUUGGAAUUAGUUGUCAUUCUUUGUUCCCAGUCAAACAUUUCUAUCUUUGACCAUCAAUUCCUAGAAAACCAUAAUAGUUUAACAACAUAUGAAAUUAUGAAUAAUAUAUUUUGAAAGCAUUUCUCAUGGUGAAUCUAAAAGCAUGAAUCUUAUUAUGUUAAACUAUACGAAUUUUAGAAAUUGGUAGUUAAAGACAGAAAUGUUUGAUUUAGGAUAAACCUAGAAUGAUAACUAAUAUGAAACAGAGGGAGUAUCAAACAUUCAUCAAAGUAUGCCACCCAAAUCAUGCAAGAACACAAUACUGCAACAGCAAAAGCAGCAGCAACCUUAGGGUUCACCAACAUGAGUCUGGGCAUCCCUAUGAAUUGUCCUGAAGUCUUAAUCAGAAGCAUCUCAAUGAUAUUUAGUUGCUUUCCUGUUUCUCAAAUCCCUUAUAAUAAGAGGAUUAAUUAUUCCACAGAAUACAUUCACUAUAUUAGCAUUUGCAAGAUAGUUAAAUGAAAUUAUACAAGGAAACUACUUCCAGGACAUGGUUGUAAUUAAUAAUAUUCAUCAAUCCUCAAACUUCCAAAAAAAUAAAAUUGCUCUGGUCUCUUAUUUAUAUGAUCAAUGCCAGGCACAUAACUACGUGCCCAUCACACAUGAUAAAAUCGUGUCAUUUUCCCUUUCAAUGAACGCUGGAGAUUAUCCAGUGCCCUAAGCCCCUAAUAGCUCCAAAUACAAAUGUGCAAUAAGGAUAGUAGUCUGUGUAUAUUAGAAUGUAUAAGAAAUACUCACCUGUUUCUCUAAGCUCGUCCUGAUGAUUGGUGUGACCAUCUCCUUCACACCAUUCUGCCCUCCAUUAGUCAAACCACCCUCCACCUUCCCGUUCUGCAUCCUGGUCGGCGCCUUCCCAGCAAUGUCUUCCAUGUCAAUCUCCCCAGACACUGCCUCCUCUUCGUCGUCGACAUCGGACUCCUCCCCUUCCAAUUCCAACUCAUCAAGCCCGUCGCUCUCUCCCUCAACCCCCUCGUUCAACUCCUCCCCCUUCACGACCCUCAGCACUGUCCCACUCCACUCCUCGAACACCGCCUCGAGGUCCCCACCAUCCACAUCGCCCUCCCCGAGGGGGACCACCUCAACGGCGCCGAGCGCACGCAGCCACCGCGAGAAGCUCCUCGCGGCAGCGUUGAAGGUCUCUCCAUAGGCCCGGGACCCGACCCCAAAUACGGCGAAGCGAAGACCGGACAGCAGGAGCGCCCCCGCGCGGAAAUCAGCGGCGGACUCCUCGAGCCAGCGAGCGAGGAAGGCCGCGGAGGGUGGCGGCGCGCCACCGUCGUGGGUGGGGACGAGGAGGAGGAGGAGCGGGACAGAGGGGAGGUCGUCGGGGUCGAAGGAGGUGGCAUCGGUGGCGUUUACGGGGACUCCGACGUCGGCGGUCAGUCGGGCGGAGAGGCGCGCGGCGAGGGUCUUGGAGGUCCCGGUGGCGGAGGCGUAGAGGAGGGUCGGGAUGGUGGUACGGGCGGGGCCGGUGGCGGUGGCGGUGGCGGGGGAAGGUUUGCGGCGGAGGCGGAUAGAUUUGUAGAAGAAGAAGAGGGAGGAGGAGGAGAGGAGGAAAAGAAGGGCGAGGUGGGAGGUGGCGGAGGCGGUGGUCGCCGUCGGGGAGGGAGGCAUCGCGGCGGCGGUGCUUGUGGGGGGUGCCGGUUCGGCCCUUGGGUUUUGGGGGUUUUGGAAACUCGCCUUUGGGCCGUGGUAGGCGGGCCCAAUGUAUGUGAUUAGUGACAUCUUCAUCCAAGAAAAAUGCAGAAACGUGAAUUUGUGCAGAUUCAGAAUUGGAUGCUUGAUCGUAGGUGGAAUUCUUGCGCAAAGGCUGCAGUAGCUACACUGAUAACAUAUUAACCUUUGAACAAGGAGUCAAUCUGAGUAUCUGACAGCUGAAUAUGAGAAUAUCACCAUGCAUCUAGCUGAUCAUAUUAUGAGCAAGGAGUUUAUGGAAAAUUGCUGGUCUCUGCUGCACAAAUGCAAGACCAGAACAGCUCAACAUGAGAGAAAUACACAUUACAAAACUUUGCUGCUUGCCCGCAUUUACACUGCAAAUGUUCAAGUGUAUGAAUCUUUACAAAUUGUUGGAACUUACAACAACACCAAGCAGUUGAUUCAGUGAUACAAUCUUUACAUAUUGUUACAUUUUGAAACAACACGAAGCUUGUAUCUUGUACAAUAGUGUCUAUAUAAUCAAGAAUACUUUUCUCCGAACAUGAUGUUGCUUCAGAGGAACUAAUCAAUGUAGCGCCAACCAUAACCAACCAUCGUUUUGGGCUUAAACUUGCCGGCAGAUAGUUGUCGACGAUUAGCAUAUUGUGGUGUGCAACGAAUGAACAAAUUUUUUGUACAUCUAUUCCAGAUUCACAGUUGAUGAUAUCGGACAUCCAGGGAAUCAACAGCAGUAUCACUCAAAAAUUGGUAGGCUGGAAUUCAAAGGUUAGCUUAUGGCCGCCAUGUUGUUUUCUUUACAGACAUGAUACCCUCCUUGUCCUUUCUGAAUGUCAUGACAAUUUCCCAGUGUAGUGACUUCAAAAUGGUCUCCAAUGGGUCAAGGAUCUCAAGUUUAUCCCUGAU
Molecule: long non-coding RNA, 22527 nt
Filed under: Panicum hallii
Lineage: Eukaryota; Viridiplantae; Streptophyta; Magnoliopsida; Poales; Poaceae
Description: long non-coding RNA (PHAL_LNC000853)
Source: RNAcentral